CACAAAGUCAACAGUGAAAGGAAUGCUAUCCAUCUGACGAGAAAGCAGCAGACAGUACAGCAGACAAAGAUGUUUCACCUGGACAUGAAGGACCACUUGGUGUCACAGCUUUGGAUCAGCUAUCUGCAGCAGAGUCCCAGUCCACUUGGUCACACCACAAGUUGGAAAGUACAGCUACAGCUGAUUCAGUAACCUCUGGAUCCACUCAGGACUUUUUCUCUCACUUAGACAUAAAUUACUCUUCAUUGAAGGCUUGUAUUUGAUCUUGCAGAGUUUCUAUGUGAUCUAUAAUUACCGUGUUUUAUUUUGCUCAUUAUAUUAUGCAUUAAAUAGCACAGAGGUGCAGUCUGACGGGA
Long non-coding RNA from Micropterus salmoides (largemouth bass), 356 nucleotides. RefSeq lists it as uncharacterized. The record is from RefSeq and is a predicted model, not a curated record. The transcript has 2 exons. NCBI's taxonomy places the organism in Eukaryota, Metazoa, Chordata, Actinopteri, Centrarchiformes, Centrarchidae.